RNAcentral lists this ribosomal RNA (431 nucleotides) under uncultured bacterium. RNAcentral's name for it is "bacterial SSU rRNA". It matches the Rfam family "Bacterial small subunit ribosomal RNA", at positions 28 to 481 of the family's 1533-position model. The record is from RNAcentral.
GACGAACGCUGGCGGCGUGCUUAACACAUGCAAGUCGAGCGGUAAGGCCCUUCGGGGUACACGAGCGGCGAACGGGUGAGUAACACGUGGGUGACCUGCCCUUAGCUCUGGGAUAAGCCUGGGAAACUGGGUCUAAUACCGGAUAUGACCUCAUGACGCAUGUUGUGGGGUGGAAAGCCUUGUGCGGCUAGGGAUGGGCCCGCGGCCUAUCAGCUUGUUGGUGGGGUGAUGGCCACCAAGGCGACGACGGGUAGCCGGCCUGAGAGGGCGACCGGCCACACUGGGACUGAGACACGGCCCAGACUCCUACGGGAGGCAGCAGUGGGGAAUUUUGCGCAAUGGGGGAAACCCUGACGCAGCAACGCCGCGUGGAGGAUGAAGUCCCGUUGGACGUAAACUCCUUUCGAUCGGGACGAUAAUGACGGUACCGA